Molecule: ribosomal RNA, 622 nt
Filed under: uncultured Lachnospiraceae bacterium
Lineage: Bacteria; Bacillati; Bacillota; Clostridia; Lachnospirales; Lachnospiraceae
Description: bacterial SSU rRNA
Rfam family: Bacterial small subunit ribosomal RNA
Source: RNAcentral
UGGCGGACGGGUGAGUAACGCGUGGGUAACCUGCCUUAUACUGGGGGAUAACAGCCAGAAAUGGCUGCUAAUACCGCAUAAGCGCACAGGGCCGCAUGGUCCGGUGUGAAAAACUCCGGUGGUAUAAGAUGGACCCGCGUUGGAUUAGCUAGUUGGCAGGGCAGCGGCCUACCAAGGCGACGAUCCAUAGCCGGCCUGAGAGGGUGAACGGCCACAUUGGGACUGAGACACGGCCCAGACUCCUACGGGAGGCAGCAGUGGGGAAUAUUGCACAAUGGGGGAAACCCUGAUGCAGCGACGCCGCGUGAAGGAAGAAGUAUCUCGGUAUGUAAACUUCUAUCAGCAGGGAAGAUAAUGACGGUACCUGACUAAGAAGCCCCGGCUAACUACGUGCCAGCAGCCGCGGUAAUACGUAGGGGGCAAGCGUUAUCCGGAUUUACUGGGUGUAAAGGGAGCGUAGACGGCGCAGCAAGUCUGAUGUGAAAGGCAGGGGCUUAACCCCUGGACUGCAUUGGAAACUGUUGAGCUUGAGUGCCGGAGGGGUAAGCGGAAUUCCUAGUGUAGCGGUGAAAUGCGUAGAUAUUAGGAGGACACCAGUGGCGAAGGCGGCUUACUGGACGGU